This 253-nucleotide ribosomal RNA is filed under the name uncultured bacterium. Its description in RNAcentral is "partial 16S ribosomal RNA". It matches the Rfam family "Bacterial small subunit ribosomal RNA", at positions 524 to 776 of the family's 1533-position model. The record is from RNAcentral.
GACGGAGGAGGCAAGCGUUAUCCGGAAUUAUUGGGCGUAAAGGGUACGUAGGCGGCUGGUCAAGUCUGGGGUUAAAGGACACAGCUCAACUGUGGGAAGGCCCUGGAAACUGACCGGCUAGAGUGAGGUAGGGGUUGCGGGAAUUCCCGGUGUAGCGGUGAAAUGCGUAGAGAUCGGGAAGAACACCUGAGGCGGAAGCGCGCAACUGGGCCAUUACUGACACUGAGGGACGAAAGCUAGGGGAGCGAAGGGG